AGUUAAUGAGCUUGAUAUAAGCAUAUAUUUUGAAAAUAUAACAUAGAAGAAAUAAUCUUCUAUUAACUU
Molecule: transfer RNA, 69 nt
Filed under: Polypedilum unifascium
Lineage: Eukaryota; Metazoa; Arthropoda; Insecta; Diptera; Chironomidae
Description: tRNA-Ser
Source: RNAcentral